GGCGGUAUAGCCAAGGGGUAAGGCACGGGUCUGCAAAACCUUUAUCGCCGGUUCAAAUCCGGCUACCGCCU
Molecule: transfer RNA, 71 nt
Organism: Aerococcus urinae
Lineage: Bacteria; Bacillati; Bacillota; Bacilli; Lactobacillales; Aerococcaceae
Rfam family: tRNA
About the family: Transfer RNA (tRNA) molecules are approximately 80 nucleotides in length.
Source: Rfam